AGAGUUUGAUCCUGGCUCAGGACGAACGCUGGCGGCGUGCUUAACACAUGCAAGUCGAACGAUGAAGCUGGAGCUUGCUCUAGCGGAUUAGUGGCGAACGGGUGAGUAACACGUGAGCAAUCUGCCCUUGACUCUGGGAUAACUGCGGGAAACUGUAGCUAAUACCGGAUACUUUCACCGGAAGGCAUCUUUUGGUGAUGAAAGAAUUUCGGUCAAGGAUGAGCUCGCGGCCUAUCAGCUUGUUGGUGAGGUAACGGCUCACCAAGGCGACGACGGGUAACCGGCCUGAGAGGGUGACCGGUCACACUGGGACUGAGACACGGCCCAGACUCCUACGGGAGGCAGCAGUGGGGAAUAUUGCACAAUGGGCGCAAGCCUGAUGCAGCAACGCCGCGUGAGGGAUGAAGGCCUUCGGGUUGUAAACCUCUUUUAGCAGGGAAGAAGCGAAAGUGAC
This 454-nucleotide ribosomal RNA is filed under the name uncultured bacterium. RNAcentral's name for it is "bacterial SSU rRNA". It matches the Rfam family "Bacterial small subunit ribosomal RNA", at positions 8 to 473 of the family's 1533-position model. The record is from RNAcentral.